UACGGAGGGGGCGAGCGUUAUUCGGAAUUAUUGGGCGUAAAGGGCGCGUAGGCGGCCCGGUAAGUCAAAGGUGAAAUCCCUCGGCUCAACUGAGGAACUGCCUUUGAAACUGUCGGGCUUGAGGCCGGGAGGGGGUAGCGGAAUUCCCAGUGUAGCGGUGAAAUGCGUAGAUAUUGGGAGGAACACCGGUGGCGAAGGCGGCUACCUGGACCGGUUCUGACGCUGAUGCGCGAAAGCCAGGGGAGCGAACGGG
Molecule: ribosomal RNA, 253 nt
Filed under: uncultured bacterium
Lineage: Bacteria
Description: partial 16S ribosomal RNA
Rfam family: Bacterial small subunit ribosomal RNA
Source: RNAcentral